CCGUUNCCGGCGACCGGCGCACGGGUGAGUAACACGUAUGCAACCUGCCCGUGGCAGGGGGAGUAAGCGGGGGAAACCCCGUCUAAUACCGCGUAACGCGGCCUUGGGGCAUCCCAAGGCCGCCAAAGGGAGCAAUCCCGGCCACGGAUGGGCAUGCGGCGCAUUAGCUAGUCGGCGGGGUAACGGCCCACCGAGGCGACGAUGCGUAGGGGUUCUGAGAGGAAGGCCCCCCACACUGGUACUGAGACACGGACCAGACUCCUACGGGAGGCAGCAG
This 277-nucleotide ribosomal RNA is filed under the name uncultured bacterium. RNAcentral's name for it is "partial 16S ribosomal RNA". It matches the Rfam family "Bacterial small subunit ribosomal RNA", at positions 82 to 354 of the family's 1533-position model. The record is from RNAcentral.